RNAcentral lists this long non-coding RNA (736 nucleotides) under Homo sapiens (human). Its description in RNAcentral is "non-protein coding lnc-TTC39B-5:1". The record is from RNAcentral. Lineage: Eukaryota; Metazoa; Chordata; Mammalia; Primates; Hominidae.
GCCGAGCGGGAGCCGCGCGGGAGCAGCGCAGCUACGGCGGCGGCAGCGGCGGCGCGGUUGCGAUUCCGAGCCGUUGAGACGCCUCUGCGGCAGCUGGUGGCGCAGGUGGCUUGCGUGGACGCGGGUAGAGGCGACCGGCCAGCAACCGCAGCGUCGGCGCCCGCGGCCCCGGCAGGCGCGUCGGGACGCCCCGAGGCAUCCUCCCCCGCCCGCGGGCCCGGUAGCUGGGCCCGCGUCCGCCGCCCGCAUCCCCGCGCCGCCGCAUCUCCUCGCCGCCUCCCGGGCUUCGGACCCCCGGUCUCGCCCCCGAAACAUGACUCGCGAUUUCAAACCUGGAGACCUCAUCUUCGCCAAGAUGAAAGGUUAUCCCCAUUGGCCAGCUCGAGUAGACGAAGUUCCUGAUGGAGCUGUAAAGCCACCCACAAACAAACUACCCAUUUUCUUUUUUGGAACUCAUGAGACGCUCCUAGGUGGAAGAGACUUGCCUUGCCUCAGAUGAGACUUUGGACUUGGACUUUUGAGUUAAUGCUGGAAUGAGUUAAGACUUUGGGGGAUGGGGACUGUUGGAAGGGCAUGGUUGUGUUUUGAAAUGUGAGGACAUGAGAUUUGAGAGAGGGGGCAGGGGCAGAAUGAUAUGGUUUGGCUCUGUGUCCCCUCACAAAUCUCACCUUGAAUUCUAAUAAUCCCCAGGUGUUAAGGGCGGAACCAGGUGGAGGUAAUUGAAUGAUGGAGGUGG